UAAAAUUUUUAUACGACUUGUUGCGUGUCAUCGGUUUAAAACUAUUUUCAGUUGGAGGUCCGGCCAAAAUACGUAAUUUAGACGGUCGAACGACCUUUUCCGUGCGUUUAGGGGUUUGACUUACGAGAUUGACCGUCCGGAUCGAGCCCUUAUUCUUUUCGGAUCAAGUUGAAUUUUUUCCCAUACAUGUAUUUUAUCAUGAUGGUCAGAUCUGACGGUCGGAUGACUGUUUCUCCAGUUUGAUCAUCACAAUCACAACAGGCAUACUAAUGUUGUAUAACUUGUUUACCUAGUGUUAUGUAAAUGUUCCGUUUCAAAAACAAACUAUACGUAAAACCUUCAAACGGCAAAAAGUCAUGAAAUAAGAUAUGACGAGAAUGUUGAAAUACAUCCACGGUUGAAAAAUCACACUAUUCCGGUAAAUAUUCGGUGCCGAUAGUUGCGGUCAAUGCAAUUUUUCAUUUUUUCCAUCUAUGAGUAGCCCUAUUUUCGGUGGUUAUUUUGCGUAAAAUUUUUAUACGACUCGUUGCGUGUCAUCGGUUUAAAACUAUUUUCAGUUGGAGGUCCGGCCAAAAUACGUAAUUUAGACGGUCGAACGACCUUUUCCGUGCGUUUAGGGGUUUGACUUACGAGAUUGACCGUCCGGAUCGAGCCCUUAUUCUUUUCGGAUCAAGUUGAAUUUUUUCCCAUACAUGUAUUUUAUCAUGAUGGUCAGAUCUGACGGUCGGAUUUCUGUUUCUCAAGUUUGAUCAUCACAAUCACAACAUGCCAAAUGUAUACAAAUACUUUUAGCCGACGAAUUUCAAAGGUUUAGCCGACGAAUUUCAAAGUUUUAGCCGACGAAAUUUAAGACUUUAGCCGACGAAUUUCAAGACUUUAGCCGACGAAUUUCAAGACUUUAGCCGACGAAUUGGUGUAUAGCCGACGAAAUUUAAGACUUUAGCCGACGAAAUAUUUAUUUCGUCGGCUAAAGUUGUCGGUUUAACUCCGAACCCUAGCCUCCUCCCUCCUCC
This 1013-nucleotide long non-coding RNA is filed under the name Fragaria vesca (wild strawberry). Its description in RNAcentral is "long non-coding RNA (FVES_LNC004371)". Lineage: Eukaryota; Viridiplantae; Streptophyta; Magnoliopsida; Rosales; Rosaceae. The record is from RNAcentral.